This 509-nucleotide ribosomal RNA is filed under the name uncultured bacterium. Its description in RNAcentral is "partial 16S ribosomal RNA". It matches the Rfam family "Bacterial small subunit ribosomal RNA", at positions 28 to 506 of the family's 1533-position model. The record is from RNAcentral.
GACGAACGCUGGCGGCGUGCUUAACACAUGCAAGUCGAACGAAGAGCGAUGGAAGCUUGCUUCUAUCAAUCUUAGUGGCGAACGGGUGAGUAACGCGUAAUCAACCUGCCCUUCAGAGGGGGACAACAGUUGGAAACGACUGCUAAUACCGCAUACGAUCUAAUCUCGGCAUCGAGGAUAGAUGAAAGGUGGCCUCUACAUGUAAGCUAUCACUGAAGGAGGGGAUUGCGUCUGAUUAGCUAGUUGGAGGGGUAACGGCCCACCAAGGCGAUGAUCAGUAGCCGGUCUGAGAGGAUGAACGGCCACAUUGGGACUGAGACACGGCCCAGACUCCUACGGGAGGCAGCAGUGGGGAAUCUUCCGCAAUGGACGAAAGUCUGACGGGGCAACGCCGCGUGAGCGAUGACGGCCUUCGGGUUGUAAAGCUCUGUUAAUCGGGACGAAAGGCCUUCUUGCGAAUAGUGAGAAGGAUUGACGGUACCGGAAUAGAAAGCCACGGCUAACUACGU